RNAcentral lists this long non-coding RNA (1127 nucleotides) under Taeniopygia guttata (zebra finch). RNAcentral's name for it is "lncRNA (ENSTGUG00000021385.1)". Lineage: Eukaryota; Metazoa; Chordata; Aves; Passeriformes; Estrildidae. The record is from RNAcentral.
GGGGGAAGGAGCAGCGGGAAGGAGAUGGAGCGGAGCAGAGGGGGAGGCGAGCCGGGGCGGGGCCGAGGAGCUCAGUGAUGUUGCCCUCAGGGCUCGUCUGAGGGAUGUCGUCCCGGGACAUUUCACUCUCUCUGGUGUUAGCCGGGAUGAGAGAAAGCAAACUCUCCGGCUCUGCAGUUUGUGGGGAAUUCAGGGCAUUCCUGCCUUUAUUUCCCGGCCGGGCAGUGCCGGCCAGCCCUGUGCUCCUCCUCAGGGGUUUGUGGCGGUAGUUCCGGACGGGGCCUCUUGUCUAAUUUCCAGCUUCUACUUUCCAUCUGAAUCAAUAGAUGUUUCUGGGUUUUUGUUUACUUCCCCUUUCCACGUAUUUACGUAUCCAAUUCCCACUCAUUUGUUGUGUUAGAUUACAUAGGCCAAACCUUUGGAGCCCUGCAUGAUCCUACAAGCACUUCCCUGCUCAUUGGGAUGUAUGUUCUGCGGCACUUUCUCGAUUUAAAUGCUUUUUAAAUGCUUUUUCUCCUGAAAGGGGCUGCGGCAUGGAGUGUCAGACGGCGAUGCCUCAAACACAACACUAAAGUUUUCCCGAAGUUAGUGGAAAUUCCAUGACUGGACUCACACUGGUCUGUUUCAGUCACACCACGCUGUCAAUUUCCUGUCACCUGCGGUUGACAUCCUGUCUUUACCUCAUGGAUUAUCAUAUUCAUCCUUACUGAAAAUCAGUUACAGAACUGUGAAGGCAGCUGUGAGGGCCAAAUUUUUCCUUUUAUGUGGCCUUUGUGCUCUUAUUAUCAGCAGUAGAUGCUCACAGGAGGAAAGCAGUCAUCUGGCAUGAUUGACAUUGAUUUUCUGCCUCAGAGAGCUUGAAUGGGAGAAGGCUCAGAGCUGCACAAACAGAACGGGGAGUUAGAAGCAGAGCCUUUCCACUGGCCUCAGGUGGCAUUUGAUCAGGAUCUGAGUGAUAACAGAUGGAAACAAAUGCCACAUUCUUAUUAUACAAUGUGUUUGCCUUCAAACUACGAGAUAUCAUUAGACUAUUGUCACAAAAAUAAAGUCCAGAGACAGUUAUAAAGGUCCUGGCUUGUGACAGACUGAGCCAAAUCUGAUGGUGCUGCAGGGGUGAACAGGGACAC